Molecule: ribosomal RNA, 240 nt
Filed under: uncultured bacterium
Lineage: Bacteria
Description: partial 16S ribosomal RNA
Rfam family: Bacterial small subunit ribosomal RNA
Source: RNAcentral
GCAAGUCGAACGAGAAAGCAUCUUCGGAUGUGAGUAGAGUGGCGCACGGGUGAGUAACACGUAGGUAACCUACCCAUUGAUGGGGGAUAACCAGGAGAAAUUCUGGCUAAUACCGCGUAAGUUGGUAACAAGAAAGGAUGCUUCGGCAUUCGUCGAUGGAUGGGCCUGCGGAACAUUAGAUUGAUGGUGGGGUAAUGGCCUACCAUGUCUACGAUGUUUAGCUGGUCUGAGAGGAUGAUC